UCAUUGAAAAAGACGUUACCUUUUCAAUAUCAACCAAACUGUCCACACUGCUUCUAAGUAAAUUAUUUCCCCCCCGUAUUUGUAACUCGCUAUGAAUUGCAAUUACUUUCCUGCCACAAGUUGAUGACAUCAGUAGCCUGAUUGAGAAGGAUAUGCANUUUGCUUCCGGGAUAUCCAGGGCUUGCUUUCAAGCAACAUUUUAAGCUGCUCCCAGGCAUCCUCCUUGGGCCAGAAGUAGUAGGGACUCAAAGGAAUUGUGCCAAAGCCUGGUAUCACUUGGUCUAGAGCAACACCAAUUGCCUUAUGCAUCCAAAUCAACUUCAAUACUAUCCUCGGUUUCUCCAUUGGCUUCACCACCACUCCAAGCCUCUCUUUAUCUGUGGGUGUUUCUCCUUCAGAGAGAAUUGGGUCAGCUGCUGAAGCCGAAAGUUUGUGUUUUACAGUACUCUGAAUAAGUUUGAGACUGGAAGCCGAACUAAUGUGCAACAAAGAGGAUUUGGGUUUAAGAGAAACGAUUGGGGCUUUAACGAGGUUUUGUGAAGUGAAAUUUGCGGGUUUUAGAGAGGGAUUGAUUUUGGGUUGAAUUGCCAUGAAUGCUG
Molecule: unclassified non-coding RNA, 599 nt
Filed under: Hevea brasiliensis (rubber tree)
Lineage: Eukaryota; Viridiplantae; Streptophyta; Magnoliopsida; Malpighiales; Euphorbiaceae
Source: RNAcentral